RNAcentral lists this long non-coding RNA (926 nucleotides) under Homo sapiens (human). Its description in RNAcentral is "non-protein coding lnc-KIAA1257-7:1". The record is from RNAcentral. Lineage: Eukaryota; Metazoa; Chordata; Mammalia; Primates; Hominidae.
CUCAGGGAAACCAGGACAGCAGAGAUGGGGCUGGAGUGGCCUGAGAGAAGGGCAGUGGUGGGAGAGGAGACCUAGGACGUCAGGGGGCCCAGGUCCUGCAGGCCUUGGGGCUGCUCUGAGGACUUUUACUCUGGGUGAGGUGGGAGGCCCAGAAGGAUGCUGAGCUGAGGGGGACAGGCCCCGAAUGUCAUGAAGGGAUGAAGUGGGAACGGCUAGCGACAUGUGCCCUUAUCAUCCCAUUAAAACUUAAUCACUCUUCCACUCCCCUUUCCAUUCCUUAAAAAAUAGCCCUAAAGGCUGCUCCCACACGGGAAAGAGGGUGUUGGAGGAGACCUGCAGACCCGUCCAAACUUGUCCUGCUAGCUAUGCUCAGGAUAGCUAGGAUUCAGCUAGAGAGCUCAAAGCCUGUCUCGGUCUACAGCUCAUACCUUCUGACCCUCAGUUAUACUUAAAAGCCAUUUGUGAAUGGAGUAAGAAGCCAGUCCGGGAAGAAAUGAAGAGUGUUUAGGCACUCAAACAGAGCCGGACGAACAUGAUAACAACUCAGAUAUAAGGAUGAAGGGCAAAAAAGACAAAUUUAUUUCUAAUGACUCCACUGCCUCUCGGCAGGCUAGGGCACUAAAUGCUCCCUUGCCCAGAUACAAUAAACAAAGUCCACACAUGUAGACUAAACAGGAUCGGGACUGCUGGUGGUACUCAUCCCUGUGCUCUCCUGGUUCUCCAAUGUUCUACAUGGAAUAUGUAUGCAUCUCUGUCAGUGGAGAAGUGACCCCAUUCUCAAACAAACAAACAAACAAACAAACAAAAGAACACUUGGCAUCCUCCCACACAGGAAGGAGUUCAUGUCUUGUUCUAGUCAUAUGCGCGGAGGUUUUCUGUAGCUGAAAUCCUAGACUGCACUCCUAGACUGCACAUGUGAUACUCUC